Molecule: non-coding RNA, 119 nt
Organism: Nematostella vectensis (starlet sea anemone)
Lineage: Eukaryota; Metazoa; Cnidaria; Anthozoa; Actiniaria; Edwardsiidae
Source: Rfam
GUCUACGACAAUACCCCUGAGAAAGCACCGGUUCUCGUCCGAUCACCGAAGUUAAGCUCAGUAGGGCGCGGUUAGUACUUGGAUGGGUGACCGCCUGGGAAUACCGUGUGCUGUAGGCA